Long non-coding RNA from Gordionus sp. m RMFG-2023, 170 nucleotides. RefSeq lists it as uncharacterized. The transcript has 3 exons. The record is from RefSeq and is a predicted model, not a curated record. NCBI's taxonomy places the organism in Eukaryota, Metazoa, Nematomorpha, Gordioida, Chordodea, Parachordodidae.
UUUCUACCUAAUCCUCUUCAGAUGAAGAUACAUUAACCGGCGUUGAUUAUCCUCCACUAGAAUCCUCCACCCUUAUAACAAACCUUGGUUUUUUCUUCUUCAGUCAGGAGCACUUGAUAUGUAUAUAAUAGAAAAAUAUAUAAAGUAAAAUAAAAUUAUUAAUUAAGGUA